Molecule: ribosomal RNA, 114 nt
Filed under: uncultured eukaryote
Lineage: Eukaryota
Description: partial small subunit ribosomal RNA
Rfam family: Bacterial small subunit ribosomal RNA
Source: RNAcentral
GAGGGAUACCAGAAGUAGGUAGCUCAACCGCAAGGAAAGCGCUUACCACGGUGGGAUUCAUGACUGGGGUGAAGUCGUAACAAGGUAGCCGUAGGUGAACCUGCAGAAGGAUCA